This 501-nucleotide ribosomal RNA is filed under the name uncultured bacterium. RNAcentral's name for it is "partial 16S ribosomal RNA". It matches the Rfam family "Bacterial small subunit ribosomal RNA", at positions 30 to 523 of the family's 1533-position model. The record is from RNAcentral.
AUUGAACGCUGGCGGCAUGCCUUACACGUGCAAGUCGAACGGCAGCACGGGUGCUUGCACCUGGUGGCGAGUGGCGAACGGGUGAGUAGUACAUCGGAACGUACCUUAUCGUGGGGGAUAACGCAGCGAAAGCUGUGCUAAUACCGCAUACGCCCUGAGGGGGAAAGCGGGGGAUCGAAAGACCUCGCGCGAUUAGAGCGGCCGAUGCCUGAUUAGCUUGUUGGUGGGGUAAAAGCCCACCAAGGCGACGAUCAGUAGCUGGUCUGAGAGGACGAUCAGCCACACUGGGACUGAGACACGGCCCAGACUCCUACGGGAGGCAGCAGUGGGGAAUUUUGGACAAUGGGGGCAACCCUGAUCCAGCAAUGCCACGUGAGUGAAGAAGGCCUUCGGGUUGUAAAGCUCUUUUGUCAGGGAAGAAACACCGGCUCUAACACAGUCCGGGAAUGACGGUACCUGAAGAAUAAGUACCGGCUAACUACGUGCCAGCCGCCGCCGUAA